RNAcentral lists this long non-coding RNA (1804 nucleotides) under Cucumis sativus (cucumber). Its description in RNAcentral is "long non-coding RNA (CSAT_LNC000550)". The record is from RNAcentral. Lineage: Eukaryota; Viridiplantae; Streptophyta; Magnoliopsida; Cucurbitales; Cucurbitaceae.
AUUGUAUAUGAUAUGAUUAAUAUAAAGUAUAUAAUGUAUAUUUAAUUAGGAAUACAAUUCAAAUUUAAACUAUAUUUCAUUACUUUAUUUGAAUAUGAUUCAAAUAUUAAACUAUUAUGAAUAAAAUAUGAAUGAGUAAUCAAUUAACUUCAUCUUGAUGAAGAGGGAAGUGGGGAGGUGGCCUCUCCCAACUCCAACAGUCACGAACAACGACACCACACCACUUGGAAAAUGAGACAGAAUUAAGGUUUAUUGUGAGAACCAUUGGAUCAACUGUGCAAUAUAACUCCCAAUUAAUUUCUUAUUCUAGUUUUUUUCAUUUCAUUUUAAUAAAUAUUAAUUUCAUUUCAAUCAUAUUCAAAUUAUAUUUCAUUCGAGAUCCCUUUAAGCAUUACUUGUAAUUAAUGUGUAGUUUUAUUAUGAGGAAAGCUAGUUAUGUUUCUAGCUUCCUAGUUGAACAAAUAGGCUUACGAAUCUAGCCACUCUCAACCAUAAAAAAUUACACUCAUAAACUGGAGUUCAUAUUAAAUUUAUAAAGUCAAUCAAUCAUGGAUGGUGUGUGGCUUUAGGGCAUAGAUCAAGGGGUUGUGUGCGUCAAUGGUAGGUUGGACAUUUUACUUCUUUGACUUCCCUUCUCAAUUCCUUAUUUCUCUUUCUAAAAAAUGCACUCCCACUACAAAGUGUCACAACCAAACAAGACUUCUUGGAAGUGUUCAUAGAAAGGUUGGGUUUUUCCUGAUUCACAGUGUCUUCCUGUCUCUUCAUUCUGUUCGUUAUUUUAAAAUUCGGGAAAAACCCAACCUGAAAUCUUUAUUAAUAAUGGACAUUUGUACUACAUGUUAUAGAAUACAUAGAGGACUGUACUACAUAUUAUAGAAUAUAUAACACAAAAUAUAUAGAGCUACAUGAAUUUACUUAAGUAAAGAAGAGUUUUCAAACGUAUUUCUCUAAUCCUAUUUUUAACACGGACUGUGAUUUGCUUAUUUUCUUUUUUCUUUUGUACCUUUUCAUCCUCCAAGAAUCAAAACAAAAACCAUAAAAAAUGGCUUCCAUUGAUUGUUGAUCCAAUCACACACAGGUCUUUAAUCUUUUACUUCUUUUCCCCAUAGAUCUAUGUUGUUUUUGUAUAAUUGAUCCUUUACAUCUAUAGGAUGUUCAAAAAUUAGAAGUUUUCAAUAUUAUAUAUAAAGAUACAUUAAAAAAAAAAACGUAUAAGAACUAAAAGGAUAUGUCCAUUUGAGUUAAAUUUAACUCAUGAAAUAUGGUAUUACAUCCCAACAAGAGAUGAUUACAAUUUUAUGGAAAGUGACAUAUGCAAUGAUGAUAACCACCUAUCUACCGUUUCCACAUGAACAUGUUUGUGUAAACAUGAAGUUCUAAACACAAUUCUUUUAAUCUCUCCAUGAAUAUAAACUAAUAUAAAGUCAGUGAAGAUCAUAUAUAAAUGAACAUAUUAUGGUAAAGCAUUAUAUCAUCAUCUUUCAGGGUUGUAAUCACAAUAAAAAUAUAGAGAUAGUUACCUUUUGGAUCAUCUAAUUCCCAUCAAAUGGUAAAGAAUUGUCAAAACUUUCGAUGUUAAUAUGCACGAUUGAGGAAGACUCUUCCCUUCAUUCGUGAUCAUUGAAUAUAACCUUGGUUGGAUUGUAGCCAUUACAACAUAUGCAUGGUCUUUAAUUAAGAUUUUAUAAAGCUAAGAAAUGAACAAACGUUCCGUUUUGUUUGCUUUUGCCUUAAGAUUUAAAACUACUUUCUAACCAAAUUUGGUAAAACAAAACAAACGGCUUGGAAGAUAAAAAGAGAGAAU